ACCAUGGAGAGUUUGAUCCUGGCUCAGGAUGAACGCUAGCGGCAGGCCUAACACAUGCAAGUCGAGGGGCAGCGGAUAAGUAGCUUGCUACUUAUGCCGGCGACCGGCGGACGGGUGCGUAACGCGUAUGGAACCUACCUUUCACUGGGGGAU
This 153-nucleotide ribosomal RNA is filed under the name Alistipes sp. Its description in RNAcentral is "partial 16S ribosomal RNA". It matches the Rfam family "Bacterial small subunit ribosomal RNA", at positions 1 to 144 of the family's 1533-position model. Lineage: Bacteria; Pseudomonadati; Bacteroidota; Bacteroidia; Bacteroidales; Rikenellaceae. The record is from RNAcentral.